CCUACGGGAGGCAGCAGUGGGGAAUAUUGCGCAAUGGGCGAAAGCCUGACGCAGCGACGCCGCGUGAGGGAUGAAGGUCUUCGGAUCGUAAACCUCUGUCAGCAGGGAAGAACGGUCACUGUGCUAAUCAGCAGUGAAUUGACGGUACCUGAAAAGGAAGCACCGGCUAACUCCGUGCCAGCAGCCGCGGUAAUACGGGGGGUGCGUGCGUUAAUCGGAUUUACUGGGCGUAAAGCGCUCGUAGGCGGUAUGUCAAGUUCAGGGGUAAAUCCCCGCGCUCAACGUGGGAACUGCCUUUGAAACUGGCAAACUUGAGUGUGUGAGAGGAUAGUGGAAGUCCAGGUGUAGGAGUGAAAUCCAUAGAUAUCUGGAGGAACACCAGUGGCGAAGGCGACUAACUGGCACAUAACUGACGCUGAGGAGCGAAAGCGUGGGUAGCAAACAGGAUUAGAUACCCCUGUAGUC
This 465-nucleotide ribosomal RNA is filed under the name uncultured bacterium. RNAcentral describes it as "partial 16S ribosomal RNA". It matches the Rfam family "Bacterial small subunit ribosomal RNA", at positions 338 to 795 of the family's 1533-position model. The record is from RNAcentral.